Molecule: ribosomal RNA, 817 nt
Filed under: uncultured Candidatus Nitrosopumilus sp.
Lineage: Archaea; Thermoproteati; Nitrososphaerota; Nitrososphaeria; Nitrosopumilales; Nitrosopumilaceae
Description: bacterial SSU rRNA
Rfam family: Archaeal small subunit ribosomal RNA
Source: RNAcentral
UCAACCUACCCUAUGGACGGGAAUAACCUCGGGAAACUGAGUAUAAUGCCCGAUAGAACAUUAUGCCUGGAAUGGUUUAUGUUCCAAAUGAUUUAUCGCCGUAGGAUGGGACUGCGGCCUAUCAGUUUGUUGGUGAGGUAAUGGCCCACCAAGACUAUUACAGGUACGGGCUCUGAGAGGAGUAGCCCGGAGAUGGGUACUGAGACACGGACCCAGGCCCUAUGGGGCGCAGCAGGCGAGAAAACUUUGCAAUGUGCGAAAGCACGACAAGGUUAAUCCGAGUGGUUUCUGCUAAAGGAACCUUUUGUCAGUCCUAGAAACACUGAUGAAUAAGGGGUGGGCAAGUUCUGGUGUCAGCCGCCGCGGUAAAACCAGCACCUCAAGUGGUCAGGAUGAUUAUUGGGCCUAAAGCAUCCGUAGCCGGCUCUGUAAGUUUUCGGUUAAAUCUGUACGCUUAACGUACAGGCUGCCGGGAAUACUGCAAAGCUAGGGAGUGGGAGAGGUAGACGGUACUCGGUAGGAAGGGGUAAAAUCCUUUGAUCUAUUGAUGACCACCUGUGGCGAAGGCGGUCUACCAGAACACGUCCGACGGUGAGGGAUGAAAGCUGGGGGAGCAAACCGGAUUAGAUACCCGGGUAGUCCCAGCUGUAAACCAUGCAAACUCAGUGAUGCAUUGGCUUGUGGCCAAUGCAGUGCUGCAGGGAAGCCGUUAAGUUUGCCGCCUGGGAAGUACGUACGCAAGUAUGAAACUUAAAGGAAUUGGCGGGGGAGCACCACAAGGGGUGAAGCCUGCGGUUCAAUUGGAUUCAACGCCGGA